Molecule: ribosomal RNA, 366 nt
Filed under: uncultured bacterium
Lineage: Bacteria
Description: partial 16S ribosomal RNA
Rfam family: Bacterial small subunit ribosomal RNA
Source: RNAcentral
CCUACGGGUGGCAGCAGUGAGGAAUAGUGGUCAAUGGGAGAGAUCCUGAACCAGCCAAGCCGCGGGAGGGAAGACGGCCCGAUGGGUUGUAAACCUCGGUUGUCGGAGAACAAAACCCGGGACGUGUCCCGGACUGCGUGUAACCGAAGAAAAAGCAUCGGCUAACUCCGUGCCAGCAGCCGCGGUAAUACGGAGGAUGCGAGCGGUAUCCGGAUUUAUUGGGUUUAAAGGGUGCGUAGGCGGUCCGUUAAGUCAGCGGUAAAAUUGCGGGGCUCAACCCCGUCGCGCCGUUGAAACUGGCAGACUUGACUUGGCGAGCAGUACGCGGAAUGCGCGGUGUCGCGGUGCACUGCCUAGCUCUCGCGC